RNAcentral lists this ribosomal RNA (582 nucleotides) under uncultured eukaryote. Its description in RNAcentral is "SSU rRNA". It matches the Rfam family "Eukaryotic small subunit ribosomal RNA", at positions 929 to 1519 of the family's 1831-position model. The record is from RNAcentral.
CCCGAGACGAACUGCCGCGAAAGCAUUCGGCAAGGACGCUUUCAUUAAUCAAGAACGAAAGUCGGGGGAUCGAAGACGAUCAGAUACCGUCGUAGUCCCGACCGUAAACGAUGCCGACCGAGGGCCCGGAGGAGUUACGUACGACCCUCCGGGCCCUCCCGCGAGAAAUCAGGAGUAUUCGGGUUCCGGGGGAGUAUGGUCGCAAGGCCGAAACUUAAAGGAAUUGACGGAAGGGCACCACCAGGAGUGGAAUCUGCGGCUUAAUUUGACCCAACGCGGGAAAACUCACCAGGUCAGGACACGGUAAGGAUUGACGGACUGAAGGCUCUUUCUCGAUUCCGUGGAAAGUGGUGCAUGGCCGUUUUUGGUUGGUGGAUCGAUCCGUCUGGUUAAUUCCGUUAACGAACGAGACCUCGGCACUCCGAAUAGCGCGGCGGACGUCGCGGCCUCCGGGCCGUCUUCCGCACGAGCUUCUUAGAGGGACCGUCCCCCGCCGGGGAAGGAGGUGCGAGGCAACGACAGGUCUGUGAUGCCCUUAGAUGUUCUGGGCCGCACGCGCAUUACACUGACGCGUCCAACGGG